RNAcentral lists this ribosomal RNA (466 nucleotides) under uncultured bacterium. RNAcentral describes it as "SSU rRNA". It matches the Rfam family "Bacterial small subunit ribosomal RNA", at positions 26 to 518 of the family's 1533-position model. The record is from RNAcentral.
AGGACGAACGCUGGCGGCGUGCCUAACACAUGCAAGUCGAACGGGGGUAGCAAUACCCCAGUGGCGAACGGGUGCGUAACACGUGAAGAACUUGUCCAUCGGCGGGGGAUAGCCAGCCCAACGGCCGGGUAAUACCGCGUACGCCGUCUGAAGCGCAUGCUUCGGCCGGGAAAGCAGCAAUGCACCGAUGGAGAGCUUCGCGGCCUAUCAGCUAGUUGGCGGGGUAAUGGCCCACCAAGGCAACGACGGGUAGCUGGUCUGAGAGGAUGACCAGCCACAUUGGGACUGAGACACGGCCCAGACUCCUACGGGAGGCAGCAGUGGGGAAUAUUGCGCAAUGGGGGAAACCCUGACGCAGCGACGCCGCGUGUGGGAUGACGGCCUUCGGGUUGUAACCACUGUCGCGAGGGACGAAAAAUGACGUACCUACGAAGGAAGCACCGGCUAACUCUGCGCCAGCAGCCGC